This 30-nucleotide ribosomal RNA is filed under the name Porpoloma sejunctum. Its description in RNAcentral is "partial 25S large subunit ribosomal RNA". The record is from RNAcentral. Lineage: Eukaryota; Fungi; Basidiomycota; Agaricomycetes; Agaricales; Tricholomataceae.
UUGACCUCAAAUCAGGUAGACGUUUAGGUU